CAGCAGCCGCGGGAAUACAGAGGUCUCAAGCGUUGUUCGGAUUCAUUGGGCGUAAAGGGCGCGUAGGCGGUGAUGUAAGUUGGGUGUGAAAUCCCAGGGCUCAACCCUGGAGCUGCAUUCAAUACUGCAUUGCUAGAGUACUGGAGAGGAGAUUGAAAUUCACGGUGUAGCAGUGAAAUGCGUAGAUAUCGUGAGGAAGACCAGUGGCGAAGGCGAAUCUCUGGACAGUAACUGACGCUGAGGAGCGAAAGCGUGGGGAGCGAACAGGAUUAGAUACCCCUGUAGUCCCUGUCUCUUAUAC
Molecule: ribosomal RNA, 301 nt
Filed under: uncultured bacterium
Lineage: Bacteria
Description: partial 16S ribosomal RNA
Rfam family: Bacterial small subunit ribosomal RNA
Source: RNAcentral